RNAcentral lists this ribosomal RNA (253 nucleotides) under uncultured bacterium. Its description in RNAcentral is "partial 16S ribosomal RNA". It matches the Rfam family "Bacterial small subunit ribosomal RNA", at positions 524 to 776 of the family's 1533-position model. The record is from RNAcentral.
UACGUAGGGGGCAAGCGUUGUCCGGAUUUAUUGGGCGUAAAGAGCGUGUAGGCGGCCAAGCAGGUCAGCUGUGAAAACUCGAGGCUCAACCUCGAGACGUCGGUUGAAACCGCUUGGCUAGAGUCCGGAAGAGGAGAGUGGAAUUCCCGGUGUAGCGGUGAAAUGCGCAGAUAUCAGGAGGAACACCAAUGGCGAAGGCAGCUCGCUGGGACGUGACUGACGCUGAGACGCGAAAGCGUGGGGAGCAAACAGG